Non-coding RNA from Plectropomus leopardus (leopard coralgrouper), 220 nucleotides. The record is from RefSeq and is a predicted model, not a curated record. Lineage: Eukaryota; Metazoa; Chordata; Actinopteri; Perciformes; Serranidae.
AAGGAACUUUAUUCUCCACACAGCUUUCAUCUAUCUGCUCGAAAGACCUGAAGACGAUAACUUUCUGCCUCUCCUGAUGCAUAAAGAUGGCUACAGCUCUGACUCUCCUUUUCAUUGGCUCUCUGCUGCAAGGUACCCUGUGUGGAGAGUUCAGAAUAUUUAUGCCGCAGACUAUUGAGGUUCUCAGUGGAUCAUGUGUGACCAUCCCCUGCUCCUUUGA